AUUGAACGCUAGCGGCAUGCCUUACACAUGCAAGUCGAACGGAGUGGCGAACGGGUGAGUAAUGUAUCGGAACGUGCCUAGUAGCGGGGGAUAACUACGCGAAAGCGGAGCUAAUACCGCAUACUAUCAGAGCAGCCGAGAUCGGAUUAGCUAGUUGGUGGGGUAACGGCUUACCAAGGCGACGAUCCGUAGCUGGUUUGAGAGGACGACCAGCCACACUGGAACUGAGACACGGUCCAGACUCCUACGGGAGGAAGCAGUGGGGAAUUUUGGACAAUGGGCGAAAGCCUGAUCCAGCCAUCCCGCGUGUGCGAUGAAGGCCUUCGGGUUGUAAAGCACUUUUAGCAGGAAAGCGGUACCUGCAGAAUAAGCACCGGCUAACUACGUGCCAGCAGCCGCGGUAAUAC
Molecule: ribosomal RNA, 407 nt
Filed under: uncultured bacterium
Lineage: Bacteria
Description: partial 16S ribosomal RNA
Rfam family: Bacterial small subunit ribosomal RNA
Source: RNAcentral